GGAAUUUUGGACAAUGGGGGCAACCCUGAUCCAGCCAUGCCGCGUGAGUGAAGAAGGCCUUCGGGUUGUAAAGCUCUUUCAGCCGGGAAGAAAAUGCAUGGGUUAAUACCCUGUGCAGAUGACGGUACCGGAAUAAGAAGCACCGGCUAACUACGUGCCAGCAGCCGCGGUAAUACGUAGGGUGCGAGCGUUAAUCGGAAUUACUGGGCGUAAAGCGUGCGCAGGCGGUUUUGUAAGACAGGCGUGAAAUCCCCGGGCUUAACCUGGGAACUGCGUUUGUGACUGCAAGGCUAGAGUACGGCAGAGGGGGGUGGAAUUCCACGUGUAGCAGUGAAAUGCGUAGAGAUGUGGAGGAACACCAAUGGCGAAGGCAGCCCCCUGGGUCGAUACUGACGCUCAUGCACGAAAGCGUGGGUAGCAAACAGGAUUAGAUACCCUUG
RNAcentral lists this ribosomal RNA (440 nucleotides) under uncultured Dechloromonas sp. RNAcentral's name for it is "bacterial SSU rRNA". It matches the Rfam family "Bacterial small subunit ribosomal RNA", at positions 358 to 790 of the family's 1533-position model. Lineage: Bacteria; Pseudomonadati; Pseudomonadota; Betaproteobacteria; Rhodocyclales; Azonexaceae. The record is from RNAcentral.